This 248-nucleotide long non-coding RNA is filed under the name Taeniopygia guttata (zebra finch). RNAcentral describes it as "lncRNA (ENSTGUG00000026064.1)". Lineage: Eukaryota; Metazoa; Chordata; Aves; Passeriformes; Estrildidae. The record is from RNAcentral.
CUCGUUUCUUGGGAUCGCAUCAUGCAGUGACACAGGUGAUCAGUAAUGCACAAGACAAGUAGCUGGAAAAUUCUCUUCAACCUUAAAUCACACACCUGGAAAUAAGAAGAUUUACCGCAGGACUAUUGCAUUAUUUCUUUGAACUUCAAAACAGAAGAAGAACAGAUUUCAAAUCAUAUCAGCAGCCAGAUAAGUACAAUCUUAAUUGCAAUAUCCAUGUGGAACAACUUUAAAGCUUUAUGGCUGUA